UACGUAGGGUGCAAGCGUUAAUCGGAAUUACUGGGCGUAAAGCGUGCGCAGGCGGUUGUGCAAGGCCGAUGUGAAAUCCCCGGGCUUAACCUGGGAAUGGCAUUGGUGACUGCACGGCUAGAGUGCGUCAGAGGGGGGUAGAAUUCCACGUGUAGCAGUGAAAUGCGUAGAGAUGUGGAGGAAUACCGAUGGCGAAGGCAGCCCCCUGGGAUAACACUGACGCUCAUGCACGAAAGCGUGGGGAGCAAACAGG
This 253-nucleotide ribosomal RNA is filed under the name uncultured bacterium. RNAcentral describes it as "partial 16S ribosomal RNA". It matches the Rfam family "Bacterial small subunit ribosomal RNA", at positions 524 to 776 of the family's 1533-position model. The record is from RNAcentral.